ACUGGAAUGAAAAAUUUCAAAUCACAAUUUCAAAAAUAGAAAUCAGCUCAAUUUAACAGCAUUGAAUAAAAGUUUAACAUAGUAUUUUGCUAAAUCCACAAAAAAUAUUUAAAACCACCCGCAUGGUGAAACAACAAAUCUAAUGCUCAAAUCUUUAAAUGCCCAAAAAUCACUAUUCUACAUCAGAGUUUACUUGAUCUUCUUCUUAG
Molecule: unclassified non-coding RNA, 209 nt
Filed under: Hevea brasiliensis (rubber tree)
Lineage: Eukaryota; Viridiplantae; Streptophyta; Magnoliopsida; Malpighiales; Euphorbiaceae
Source: RNAcentral